RNAcentral lists this ribosomal RNA (254 nucleotides) under uncultured bacterium. Its description in RNAcentral is "partial 16S ribosomal RNA". It matches the Rfam family "Bacterial small subunit ribosomal RNA", at positions 524 to 776 of the family's 1533-position model. The record is from RNAcentral.
CACGUAGGGUGCGAGCGUUGUCCGGAAUUAUUGGGCGUAAAGAGCUCGUAGGCGGUGUGUCGCGUCGGCCGUGAAAACCUGCAGCUUAACUGUGGGCGUGCGGUCGAUACGGGCAUCACUGGAGUUCGGCAGGGGAGAGUGGAAUUCCUGGUGUAGCGGUGAAAUGCGCAGAUAUCAGGAAGAACACCCGUGGCGAAGGCGGCUCUCUGGGACGGUACUGACGCUGAGACGCGAAAGCGUGGGGAGCGAACAGG